UACGUAGGAGGCAAACGUUAUCCGGAUUUACUGGGCGUAAAGCGCAUGUAGGUGGUUCUGUAAGUAGGGCGUGAAAGCUCCCGGCUCAACUGGGAGAGGCCGUUCUAAACUACAGAGCUAGAGGAUGGUAGAGGGAGGUGGAAUUCCGGGUGUAGCGGUGGAAUGCGCAGAUAUCCGGAGGAACACCAGUGGCGAAAGCGGCCUCCUGGUCCAUUCCUGACACUCAGAUGCGAAAGCUAGGGUAGCAAACGGGAUUAGAUACCCGCGUAGUCCCUGA
This 277-nucleotide ribosomal RNA is filed under the name uncultured prokaryote. RNAcentral describes it as "partial 16S ribosomal RNA". It matches the Rfam family "Bacterial small subunit ribosomal RNA", at positions 524 to 800 of the family's 1533-position model. The record is from RNAcentral.